GGAGUGAUCUGUCUGCUUAAUUGCGUUUCAAAUUUUUAACCGAGGACCGGGUUUUGGUUUGGCUAGUGGUCCUACGAUGACUGUGAACUGUCAUGUCUUCGGAUGUACGACUAUCGGUCUAGGAUCACAUGACUUGCCCCUGGGACUCUUUUGAACGCAACGGACGUGAUUGCAACCCCUUGUUGAGAUUAGAGAUAGUCUCGAUAUUCACUGGCCAAACUGGCUGCUUUAUGCAGUCUUGUUGAAUGGUGGAUAAACUCGGGGGACUGCUGACUAUAACCAUUUCUCAAAACAGAGGAAGGUUGCGGCAAUAACA
This 316-nucleotide ribosomal RNA is filed under the name Globigerinoides ruber albus. RNAcentral's name for it is "partial small subunit ribosomal RNA". The record is from RNAcentral. Lineage: Eukaryota; Foraminifera; Rotaliida; Globigerinidae.